RNAcentral lists this transfer RNA (73 nucleotides) under Loxodonta africana (African savanna elephant). It matches the Rfam family "tRNA". From Rfam's summary of the family: Transfer RNA (tRNA) molecules are approximately 80 nucleotides in length. Their secondary structure includes four short double-helical elements and three loops (D, anti-codon, and T loops). Lineage: Eukaryota; Metazoa; Chordata; Mammalia; Proboscidea; Elephantidae. The record is from Rfam by way of RNAcentral.
CCCUGGGUGGUGCAAAUGGUUAACAUGCCUGGCUGCUAACCAGAAAGGCUGGUGGUUUGAGCCCACCCAGGGG